UGGGAUGCUCCUUCCAAGCUUCUGGGGACAGGGCUGGUUAUUUGGCAAAUGGUUUCUGAUGAUUAUAAGGACCACAGCUUAUGUUCACUCCACCUUCAUGGUAUUGCUUCCUUUGGUUUUUUAGGCGUCGAGUAUUGGGCUAUUUUCCUUUGUAUUAUUGCAAAAAACUAUGAGUCCAUCUGCUGUAUAUAUGUAAUAUUUGUCUGCUUUAUCUUUGCUGG
RNAcentral lists this long non-coding RNA (221 nucleotides) under Elaeis guineensis (African oil palm). Its description in RNAcentral is "long non-coding RNA (EGUI_LNC006518)". Lineage: Eukaryota; Viridiplantae; Streptophyta; Magnoliopsida; Arecales; Arecaceae. The record is from RNAcentral.